AUUGAACGCUGGCGGAAUGCUUUACACAUGCAAGUCGAACGGCAGCACGGGAGCUUGCUCCUGGUGGCGAGUGGCGAACGGGUGAGUAAUAUAUCGGAACGUAUCCAAUAAUGGGGGAUAACUAGUCGAAAGAUUAGCUAAUACCGCAUACGCCCUGAGGGGGAAAGCUAGGGACCGCAAGGCCUGGCGUUAAUGGAGCGGCCGAUAUCUGAUUAGCUAGUUGGUGAGGUAAAGGCUCACCAAGGCGACGAUCAGUAGCUGGUCUGAGAGGACGGCCAGCCACACUGGAACUGAGACACGGCCAGACUCCUACGGGAGGCAGCAGUGGGGAAUUUUGGACAAUGGGCGCAAGCCUGAUCCAGCCAUUCCGCGUGAGUGAAGAAGGCCUUCGGGUUGUAAAGCUCUUUCGCAAGGGAAGAAAACUUACCCUCUAACAUAGGGUGAGGCUGACGGUACCUUGAUAAGAAGCACCGGCUAACUACGUGCCAGCCGCCGCCGUAA
This 501-nucleotide ribosomal RNA is filed under the name uncultured bacterium. RNAcentral's name for it is "partial 16S ribosomal RNA". It matches the Rfam family "Bacterial small subunit ribosomal RNA", at positions 30 to 523 of the family's 1533-position model. The record is from RNAcentral.